Molecule: RNA transcript, 1787 nt
Organism: Alligator sinensis (Chinese alligator)
Lineage: Eukaryota; Metazoa; Chordata; Crocodylia; Alligatoridae
Gene: COPZ2
Gene name: coatomer protein complex subunit zeta 2
Exons: 10
Source: RefSeq, a predicted model, not a curated record
CGCCGGAGCCAUGGACCCCGCGGGGCAGCUGUUUCAGGAGCCAUCGCUCUACACAGUCAAGGCCGUUUUCAUCUUGGACAAUGAUGGGCAGCGACUCUUGGCCAAGUACUAUGAUGACACCUUUCCAUCUAUGAAGGAACAGAAGGCCUUUGAGAAGAAUGUAUUCAACAAAACCCACAAAACUGACAGUGAGAUUGCCUUUCUGGAGGGACUAACCAUUGUCUAUAAAAGCAGCAUUGACCUCUUUUUCUAUGUGGUGGGAAGUUCCCAUGAAAAUGAGCUGAUGCUGAUGGCUGUUCUCACCUGUCUCUUUGACUCUCUCAAUCACAUGCUACGGAAGAAUGUGGAGAAGCGCUCCCUCUUGGACAACAUGGACGGGGCCUUCCUGGUGGUGGAUGAGAUUGUUGAUGGCGGGGUGAUUCUGGAGAGUGAUCCACAGCAAGUGAUCCAGAAUGUGAACUUCAGGACAAUCUCAGAGCCCGCUGCAUACGGGUUUGUUCUCUUUGAUUACAUCGCUGGUAGGUCAGAGCAGAGUGAAUCUGUACCUCCCAGGUGCUAACUAGGCUACAGUCAGCUGUGAACCAGGUGGAUGACAGCCCUCUCUCUGAGCAAAGUGUUGCCCAGGUUCUGCAAUCUGCCAAAGAGCAAAUUAAAUGGUCCUUAUUAAAGUGAAAGACCCAGAGGACAGCGCCUGGAUAUUUCCGAUUGGAUGGGUCUAAACUACGGCUACAAAUGAUUCCUCGGCUGAUUUGAUUAGCCAUUUUCUAAUUGGCACAAUAGGUCUGACAGAAGAUUUGGGGUAGGAUGCAAGAUGGCCAACAUCAGCGGUGCCGCCCAAGAGAACUCUAAGCUUCCAUGGACACGUCCACCCAGCUGGCUUCACCCCAGUCUCAGUGACAUGAAAUUUGCAAGCUAACAGGGGAGGAGAGUUUGGGAAAAUUAACCAAUAAAUGGGCCAGAUUCUACUCCUGUACCAGCGCAAAUCUGGAGUGACUUCAGUGCAGAAGUUUCAGAUUUACUUUGGUAUGACUGAGAGUAGAAUCUGGCCUGAGAAUCUUAAGGAACUGUAUAAUUGCUGGGUAUUGCAGCCAGUAAUUAUUUAAGGAAUGAAUAAGAUGAUUGAUUACUGGUAUUUUCAACACCUGAAGGCUUUCUUGGAAGAGUCAGGUAGCAGCUGAAGUAGAGUAGACUGGUUUUGAAUCUUCCCUUUUGUCAGUAUUGUGGACUAAAGAACUGUCCCCUUUCUUUUCCGCACCAAUAACUCCCAUUCAUGGUACAGACCAAAGCCUGAGCAUUCAUUGAGAGGCUGGGCCCCUUAAACAUAGGCCGAGACUUCCAAAACUGUGUAAGGGAUUUGCUUGCCCAUUUCUCACUAAAAUGAAUGGGACAUGGGCUCCUUAGAAUUAUAUUGGCUGCUUCCAAAAUAAGCCAAGAGCCAGAGCUUUGACUAUAGUAGGUGACAUUCACCCUAUGUGGAGGUCAGCAUCCAUCCCACUCAAAUGCCUUGAAAGGAACAAAAUAGGGAUGAAUGGGCAUGGAUGACUGUUUUCCCAUUAGGCUGAUAUUUGGAAUAUCAAAGCAUAUCAAUCAUACAGUGGAAAAUAAUGCAGCCCAGGCUGCAAUUAAUUAUGUAAACUCAAGCUUGCUAACCCUGGUUGUCGUCCCAUAUAUUAUUAAAGGUCCUUGCUGUGUUAAGAAUCCUUUCCUCAAAACAAAUCACUACCUUUCCUUUGUCAGCGCCCCAGAUUCUAAAUAUCGAAAAAAAAAUUAAAUUCUAAUGAAGGAGA